CGGGGCCGGGCGGCAGGGAGAGGCGGGCGCCCGGCCUGGCCGCGGAGCGGGCCCAGGUGCUGCUGGUUUCGCCGAGAUGCCUGGGACUCUUGGAGGCUGAGUGAGCUGUUUGGCCAAAGGGCAGAGGCCCUCUCCAUCAUGCAGGAGAAUGACCAGACUCCGCUCUCUCAGGGAUUUGUGAUCUCCUGGAUGGAGCAAGAGGAAGAGCUACAGGUCUUGGAUCCCCAGGACUUGGAGAAAACAGAGAUCCCAAGGUUCACAGUUCGCUACUUGGAUCAUGCCCAAAACAAAAACCAGAUGGCAUCUACAAAGGCUAAGCAACACAUAUGGAGCACUUUCAAGGACCCAAACGUUUGAGGAGAGUAGGGUUGAUCCUGGAUUCAGUUACCAAUGGAUGCAAUAUACCAAAAAAGGUACUGAUAAAACAACAAAGAGAAGAGCAGCUUAGACAAUUUAAUAAUCCAAUUUAGGUUUAGUGGCAGUACCCAGUGAAACUGCUACAGGUUAGAGUCUAUCCACAGACUCUCACUAUAUAUGUUGGAUUUGGGUUUAGACCUGAAAAGCCAUCUGCACUAACAUUGGAGACCACCCAGUGCUCAGCCUGUAGGAGCAGCAAAGUGGAGAUGGCUCAUGGAGGGAUGCAAGGAGCCCUGUGAGCGUGCAGUGAGGUCAGAUACAGAAGCAACUAAACAUGCAACCCCCUGGUUAAGAAUAGUAGGAGCAAAAGAAAUCCUACCAAUGGUAUAGGCCCAUUACUAGAUGAAGUUGGUAAAAUUGUUAAUAAUGAUACAGAAAUAUUCAGUAAAAAUUCUGUAUUGGCAAAGAAGCAGGAUGGUGUAUUCCAGUCACUAGAGGAUGCUGAACUACUUUCCAGCCCAUUAGUAACUAAGCAGAAGUUGUUUUACAUCCUCCUGCAUGUAAUUUUCAUCCAAGAGUCCUCAGAGAGUCAGCCGAGGCAUUCUCUGGCCCACUUAUGUUAAUUUUUAAUAAAUCUUGUGAAAGCAGGGAAAUUCCAGAAGACUGGACGAGAACUAACAUUGUGCCAAUAUUUAAAAAGGGCAAGUAGGAUGACCUGAGUAACUAUAGGCCGGUUAGCCUGACUUCAAACCCGGAUAACUAAGGGAAAAGCUGAUACUAGGAUCAGUCAAUAAAGAAUUAAAAACUGGAAAUAGAAUUAACACAAGUCAUCAUGGUUUUACCUAAAACAGGUCUUGUCAAACAAGCCUGAUUCCAUUUUGAUGAGACUACAAGUUGGUUGAUAAAGAGAGCUCUAAACUUUUGUAGGUCAUUUGACACAGUACUCAUGACAGUUUGAUUAAGAAAUGCACGCUGUCCAAUGGAGCCCAUUUUAAAUGGAUGAAGAGCAGGCGAACUGACUGAUCUCAGAAAGUAGUUAUCAGUGAGGAAUCAGUGGAGCCUCGUGUUUUUCACAAAUUUGAAAUAAAACAAAAAACUCACCCUGCAGCAG
RNAcentral lists this long non-coding RNA (1468 nucleotides) under Gopherus evgoodei (Goodes thornscrub tortoise). RNAcentral describes it as "lncRNA (ENSGEVG00005010910.1)". Lineage: Eukaryota; Metazoa; Chordata; Testudines; Testudinidae. The record is from RNAcentral.